CUUCAUAGGCAACCAAACUUAAAUUGAAGAGUUUGAUCAUGGCUCAGAUUGAACGCUGGCGGCAGGCCUAACACAUGCAAGUCGAGCGGCAGCGGGAAAGUAGCUUGCUACUUUUGCCGGCGA
This 123-nucleotide ribosomal RNA is filed under the name Aeromonas enteropelogenes. Its description in RNAcentral is "partial 16S ribosomal RNA". The stretch from base 21 to 123 matches the Rfam family "Bacterial small subunit ribosomal RNA", at positions 1 to 98 of the family's 1533-position model. The record is from RNAcentral. Lineage: Bacteria; Pseudomonadati; Pseudomonadota; Gammaproteobacteria; Aeromonadales; Aeromonadaceae.